AGAGUUUGAUCAUGGCUCAGAAUGAACGCUGGCGGCGUGGAUUAGGCAUGCAAGUCGCGCGAGAAAAUUCCCUUCGGGGAGUGAGUAGAGCGGCGAACUGGUGAGUAACAGGUGGGUAAUGUGCCCUGAAGUGUGGAAUAACCCGGGGAAACCCGGGCUAAUACCGCAUGUGGCCCUAAGGUUCAUGGACCUAAGGGUUAAAGGCUUCGGCCGCUUCAGGAUCAGCCCGCCCCCGAUUAGCUAGUUGGCGAGGUAAUGGCUCACCAAGGCUUCUAUCGGUAGCUGGUCUGAGAGGAUGGUCAGCCACACUGGGACUGAGAUACGGCCCAGACUCCUACGGGGGGCAGCAGUCUAGAGGCUUCGGCAAUGGGGGAAACCCUGACCGAGCGACGCCGCGUGCGGGAUUGAAGGCCUUCGGGUCGUAAACCGCUGUCGGGUGGGAAGAAUGCCUGUAUGGUGAAUACAGGAGUGACGGUACCACCAAAGGAAGCCCCGGCUAACUCCGUGCCAGCAGCCGCGGUAAUACGGAGGGGGCAAGCGUUAUUCGGAUUUACUGGGCGUAAAGGGUGUGUAGGCGGUCGUGUAAGUCUGGUGUGAAAUCUUCACCACUCAACGGGAAGAGGUCACUGGAAACUGCAUGACUUGAGUUUGGUAGAGGCUAGCGGAAUUCCUGGUGUAGCGGUGGAAUGUGUAGAUAUCAGGAAGAACACCUGUGGCGAANGCGGCUAGCUGGGCCAAUACUGACGCUGAGACACGAAAGCGUGGGGAGCAAACGGGAUUAGAUACCCCGGUAGUCCACGCCGUAAACGGUGCACACUANGUGUAGGGGGAUAUCGACCCCCUCUGUGCCGACGUUACACAUUAAGUGUGCCGCCU
This 876-nucleotide ribosomal RNA is filed under the name uncultured bacterium. RNAcentral's name for it is "bacterial SSU rRNA". It matches the Rfam family "Bacterial small subunit ribosomal RNA", at positions 9 to 873 of the family's 1533-position model. The record is from RNAcentral.